AUCUUGCGCAAUGGGCGAAAGCCUGACGCAGCAACGCCGCGUGCGGGAUGACGGCCUUCGGGUUGUAAACCGCUUUCAGUAGGGACGAAACAAGACGGUACCUACAGAAGAAGCCCCGGCCAACUACGUGCCAGCAGCCGCGGUAACACGUAGGGGGCGAGCGUUGUCCGGAUUCAUUGGGCGUAAAGAGCUCGUAGGCGGCUCGGUAAGUCAGGUGUGAAAACUCUGGGCUCAACCCAGAGACGCCACUUGAUACUGCCGUGGCUAGAGUCCAGUAGGGGAGCGUGGAAUUCCCGGUGUAGCGGUGAAAUGCGCAGAUAUCGGGAGGAACACCAGCGGCGAAGGCGGCGCUCUGGGCUGGAACUGACGCUGAGGAGCGAAAGCGUGGGUAGCAAACAGG
Molecule: ribosomal RNA, 400 nt
Filed under: uncultured bacterium
Lineage: Bacteria
Description: bacterial SSU rRNA
Rfam family: Bacterial small subunit ribosomal RNA
Source: RNAcentral